Molecule: long non-coding RNA, 491 nt
Filed under: Homo sapiens (human)
Lineage: Eukaryota; Metazoa; Chordata; Mammalia; Primates; Hominidae
Description: HSALNT0322602
Source: RNAcentral
GCUCUCAGGCAGCGAUACUGAUCCUCGUACUUUUCAAGUUGAGCUGGAGCACAGUGGAUGGUUAAGAUCUGAAGGGAAUGAGUGGGGCACUACCGCAACUUUGACAAGAACGCUCUUGCUGGAAUGCCGUGAUCAGCUGCCAAAACAAAGGAAUAGAAAUGGAAGAGUUAGAGGCAGUGUUAUGCUAGAGCUGUCCCUUAGCGAGCUGAUUUUAAAGCUUGAAAUCGGCCAUGGAUAAAUUCCCAGAAGUGGAAGACAUUGCCAAGUUUUUCUUCAGAAAGAUGGAUGAAUUCUUGGCCUGAAAAAGGGGAAUCAAAAGACGUGCUUUCCUGUGCUUCAGCUGCAAUGUCUAUUUCUCAAGACGCUGAAAAAGAUGAUUUAGAGUUUUAUGAUUAAUGGAAGGGAGGAAUCUACUCUAAAGAAAUUGGAUAAUACUAUAAAUAAGAAAUAAAAAUUAUUUGACAAAAGCUAUCUUCCCCUUAGGGAUUAUA